UUGGAGACUAUUACUUCGUAUAAGUUUCUAUGGACUAGCGUGGUUGCUGGAGAAUUGGCUACAUUGGCAUUUUAUGUGUUUACCGGGUUAAAGUUUAAGCCUGAGGCACAUAAUCCAUAUUUUGUGAUUGAUGAUGAGGAAGAAGAGGCUGCAGCAGAGCAAUUGAAGCUGGAAGAUGAGUUCGAGUUGUAAUUGCGUUAGAUAGCUAUAGAGGAAGAUGCUGUGCCAAGAAAUUGAGAACAUUGAGAUAGAUACCUGAUAAUUGCUUCAAUGAUCGGGUCCUCAUGAUCAUUUUGACUGUUAAGAGGGGUAAAUGUGACUGUUUAUUAUGUGCUUCUUUUUAUGUUCUUGUUGAUCUACUAUGUUUUUGAACUUUCAAGUUAAAAUAGUAUAGUCUGAUAAAUUUUCAUCUGUCAUUGAUACUCGAUAUUGGGUACUGUAUACGUUCUGAAACUAAAUCUUUUCAACAACUACUAUGGCAAAUGGGUUGUGUUUGUACUGGUUCCUUGCUAUGUCUGCUUCUAAUUAGCUUCAUCUGCAUUGUAAUUGUUGCUUUCUCAUGCAGUAGCUAUCAAGCAAAUUUGGCAAAUUAGUUCCAUACAGUGAGUAUUUGAUAGCAGUCUGUGAGCAUCCUAAAUGAUCCAAUCUUUACAUUCAAUGUACUUGGUUGAUGACAAACAUUUUUUCUCGUAAGAUUCUAUGUGGUUUUUAGUUUCCCUGUUUCCAAACAUGAAGUCACCUGCCAGAUGACCUCUUCCUUGUUUUUAACCAUGUUAAGUAUUAUCUUGUAGCUGAUCAAGGUAGUGCUGCAAUUAGAUGUUUAACCAAUCUGACAUUUUUUCACAUGUUUGAAUAUGAUCUUCUCGAUAUAUAUAUAUAUAUAUAUAUAUAUAUAUAUAUAAGCUCCAAAAUGGUCAGACUAAUUUCACCGUUAUCUUCCUUGAAAACGACGCUGAUCAGCAUACUCUCGUUUUUGCCAAUUGCUUGAGCUCGGUCAAGGUAUCCAUGGACGUCAAAUCGGCUAUGUACAAUCUCGAAAGGAAUGGCAACCGUGAUUAUCUUUCUGCUGGCAAGACGAUUCUCCCUAGGGUUUAUUUCUUAUUCUCCCUCAUUUAUUUUAUUCUCGCGGGAUUAUGGAUUCACGUUCUGUAUAAGAAAAGACUCACUGUUUUUAGGAUCCAUUUCUUCAUGCUGUCGGUGGUUAUUUUGAAGGCUUUGAAUUUAUUAUGUGAGGCAGAGGAUAAGUCUUAUAUCAAGAAGACUGGUAGCGCGCAUGGAUGGGAUGUGUUGUUUUAUAUGUUCAGCUUUUUGAAGGGGGUCAUAUUAUUUACUUUGAUUGUGUUGAUUGGGACCGGAUGGUCGUUUUUGAAGCCCUACUUGCAGGACAAGGAGAAGAAGGUUUUGAUGAUCGUAAUUCCUCUCCAGGUAGUGGCAAAUAUUGCUCAGGUGGUCAUCGAUGAAACAGGACCCUAUGGGCAGGAUUGGAUCACCUGGAAGCAGGUGUUUUUGCUGGUCGACGUUGUGUGCUGCUGUGCCGUCUUGUUCCCCAUUGUUUGGUCCAUUAAGAACUUGCGCGAGGCCGCUAGAACGGACGGGAAGGCUGCUGUGAAUUUGAUGAAGUUGACUCUGUUUAGGCAGUAUUAUAUCGUGGUAAUCUGCUACAUUUACUUUACCCGUGUGGUCGUUUACGCUUUGGAGACUAUUACUUCGUAUAAGUUUCUAUGGACUAGCGUGGUUGCUGGAGAAUUGGCUACAUUGGCAUUUUAUGUGUUUACCGGGUUAAAGUUUAAGCCUGAGGCACAUAAUCCAUAUUUUGUGAUUGAUGAUGAGGAAGAAGAGGCUGCAGCAGAGCAAUUGAAGCUGGAAGAUGAGUUCGAGUUGUAAUUGCGUUAGAUAGCUAUAGAGGAAGAUGCUGUGCCAAGAAAUUGAGAACAUUGAGAUAGAUACCUGAUAAUUGCUUCAAUGAUCGGGUCCUCAUGAUCAUUUUGACUGUUAAGAGGGGUAAAUGUGACUGUUUAUUAUGUGCUUCUUUUUAUGUUCUUGUUGAUCUACUAUGUUUUUGAACUUUCAAGUUAAAAUAGUAUAGUCUGAUAAAUUUUCAUCUGUCAUUGAUACUCGAUAUUGGGUACUGUAUACGUUCUGAAACUAAAUCUUUUCAACAACU
This 2164-nucleotide long non-coding RNA is filed under the name Jatropha curcas. RNAcentral describes it as "long non-coding RNA (JCUR_LNC002840)". The record is from RNAcentral. Lineage: Eukaryota; Viridiplantae; Streptophyta; Magnoliopsida; Malpighiales; Euphorbiaceae.